UAGGGAAUAUUGGUCAAUGGAGGCAACUCCGAACCAGCCAUGCCGCGUGUAGGAAGAAGGCGUUCUGCGUUGUAAACUACUUUUGAUUGGGAACAAAUGACUCUUGCGAGAGUAGCUGGGUGUACCAAUAGAAUAAGCCACGGCUAACUACGUGCCAGCAGCCGCGGUAAUACGUAGGUGGCAAGCGUUGUCCGGAUUUAUUGGGUUUAAAGGGGUGCGUAGGCGGCUUAAUAAGUCAGUGGUGAAAGCCGAUCGCUUAACGAUCGAACUGCCAUUGAUACUGCUAGGCUUGAGUAUAGAUGAGGUAGGCGGAAUUGACAGUGUAGCGGUGAAAUGCAUAGAUAUUGUCAAGAACACCAAUUGCGAAGGCAGCUUACUAAGUUAUAACUGACGCUGAGGCACGAAAGUGCGGGGAUCAAACAG
Molecule: ribosomal RNA, 423 nt
Filed under: uncultured bacterium
Lineage: Bacteria
Description: bacterial SSU rRNA
Rfam family: Bacterial small subunit ribosomal RNA
Source: RNAcentral